Molecule: ribosomal RNA, 253 nt
Filed under: uncultured bacterium
Lineage: Bacteria
Description: partial 16S ribosomal RNA
Rfam family: Bacterial small subunit ribosomal RNA
Source: RNAcentral
UACGUAGGGACCGAGCGUUGUCCGGAUUUAUUGGGCGUAAAGAGCGUGUAGGCGGCCAAGCAGGUCCGCUGUGAAAACUCGAGGCUCAACCUCGAGACGUCGGUGGAAACCGUUUGGCUAGAGUCCGGAAGAGGAGAGUGGAAUUCCCGGUGUAGCGGUGAAAUGCGCAGAUAUCGGGAAGAACACCCGUGGCGAAGGCGGCUCUCUGGGACGGUACUGACGCUGAGACGCGAAAGCGUGGGGAGCGAACAGG